This 89-nucleotide transfer RNA is filed under the name Haematospirillum jordaniae. It matches the Rfam family "tRNA". From Rfam's summary of the family: Transfer RNA (tRNA) molecules are approximately 80 nucleotides in length. Their secondary structure includes four short double-helical elements and three loops (D, anti-codon, and T loops). Further hydrogen bonds mediate the characteristic L-shaped molecular structure. tRNAs have two regions of fundamental functional importance: the anti-codon, which is responsible for specific mRNA codon recognition, and the 3' end, to which the tRNAs corresponding amino acid is attached (by aminoacyl-tRNA synthetases). tRNAs cope with the degeneracy of the genetic code in two manners: having more than one tRNA (with a specific anti-codon) for a particular amino acid; and 'wobble' base-pairing, i.e. permitting non-standard base-pairing at the 3rd anti-codon position. Lineage: Bacteria; Pseudomonadati; Pseudomonadota; Alphaproteobacteria; Rhodospirillales; Novispirillaceae. The record is from Rfam by way of RNAcentral.
GGAGCGGUGGGUGAGUGGCUGAAACCAGCAGUUUGCUAAACUGUCGCACGGGGUAACUCGUGCCGAGGGUUCGAAUCCCUCCCGCUCCG